This 459-nucleotide ribosomal RNA is filed under the name uncultured bacterium. RNAcentral's name for it is "SSU rRNA". It matches the Rfam family "Bacterial small subunit ribosomal RNA", at positions 26 to 518 of the family's 1533-position model. The record is from RNAcentral.
AGAAUCAACGCUGGCGGCGUGCCUAACACAUGCAAGUCGAACGAGAAAGGGUAGCAAUACCUGAGUAAAGUGGCGCACGGGUGAGUAACACGUGACUAACCUACCUUUUAGUGGGGGAUAACCUAGGGAAACCUGGGCUAAUACCGCAUAAUACCUACGGGUCAAAGCAGCAAUGCGCUGGAAGAGGGGGUCGCGGCCGAUUAGCUAGUUGGCGGGGUAAUGGCCCACCAAGGCAGUGAUCGGUAUCCGGCCUGAGAGGGCGCACGGACACACUGGAACUGAAACACGGUCCAGACUCCUACGGGAGGCAGCAGUGGGAAUUUUGCGCAAUGGGGGAAACCCUGACGCAGCAACGCCGCGUGGAGGAUGAAGUAUCUCGGUACGUAAACUCCUUUCGAUGGGGAAGAUAAUGACGGUACCCAUAGAAGAAGCCCCGGCUAACUUCGCGCCAGCAGCCGC